Molecule: non-coding RNA, 88 nt
Organism: Tricharina praecox
Lineage: Eukaryota; Fungi; Ascomycota; Pezizomycetes; Pezizales; Pyronemataceae
Source: the annotation of a RefSeq genome assembly
ACACGAGUAGUGCAGUAGUUAGCAUGCCGUCCUCCCAACCGACAGGCGAAGGCCGACGGAGACGUGGGUUCAAAUCCCGCCUCGUGUA